AUUGAACGCUGGCGGCAGGCCUAACACAUGCAAGUCGAGCGGCAGCACGGGAGCUUGCUCCUGGUGGCGAGCGGCGGACGGGUGAGGAACACGUGGGAAUCUACCUAUUGGUGGGGGAUAACUUGGGGAAACUCAAGGUAAUACCGCAUUAUCCCUACGGGGGAAAGCAGGGGACCUUCGGGCCUUGCGCCGAUAGAUGAGCCCGCGUCGGAUUAGCUAGUUGGUAGGGUAAAGGCCUACCAAGGCGACGAUCCGUAGCUGGUCUGAGAGGAUGAUCAGCCACACUGGGACUGAGACACGGCCCAGACUCCUACGGGAGGCAGCAGUGGGGAAUAUUGGACAAUGGGGGCAACCCUGAUCCAGCCAUGCCGCGUGUGUGAAGAAGGCCUUAGGGUUGUAAAGCACUUUCAGUGGGGAGGAAGGCUUCUGGCUAAUAACCUGGAGUACUUGACGUUACCCACAGAAGAAGCACCGCUAACU
RNAcentral lists this ribosomal RNA (480 nucleotides) under uncultured bacterium. RNAcentral's name for it is "bacterial SSU rRNA". It matches the Rfam family "Bacterial small subunit ribosomal RNA", at positions 30 to 502 of the family's 1533-position model. The record is from RNAcentral.